This 73-nucleotide transfer RNA is filed under the name Canis lupus familiaris (dog). It matches the Rfam family "tRNA". From Rfam's summary of the family: Transfer RNA (tRNA) molecules are approximately 80 nucleotides in length. Their secondary structure includes four short double-helical elements and three loops (D, anti-codon, and T loops). The record is from Rfam by way of RNAcentral. Lineage: Eukaryota; Metazoa; Chordata; Mammalia; Carnivora; Canidae. RNAcentral also lists the same sequence under 2 other names.
ACUUGGCUGGCUCAGUUGGCAGAGUUUGUGAUUCUUGAUCUCAGGAUUGUAGGUUCAAGUCCCAUGUUGGGUG